CGAGCGAUGGAUUAAGAGCUUGCUCUUAUGAAGUUAGCGGCGGACGGGUGAGUAACACGUGGGUAACCUGCCCAUAAGACUGGGAUAACUCCGGGAAACCGGGGCUAAUACCGGAUAACAUUUUGAACCGCAUGGUUCGAAAUUGAAAGGCGGCUUCGGCUGUCACUUAUGGAUGGACCCGCGUCGCAUUAGCUAGUUGGUGAGGUAACGGCUCACCAAGGCAACGAUGCGUAGCCGACCUGAGAGGGUGAUCGGCCACACUGGGACUGAGACACGGCCCAGACUCCUACGGGAGGCAGCAGUAGGGAAUCUUCCGCAAUGGACGAAAGUCUGACGGAGCAACGCCGCGUGAGUGAUGAAGGCUUUCGGGUCGUAAAACUCUGUUGUUAGGGAAGAACAAGUGCUAGUUGAAUAAGCUGGCACCUUGACGGUACCUAACCAGAAAGCCACGGCUAACUACGUGCCAGCAGCCGCGGUAAUACGUAGGUGGCAAGCGUUAUCCGGAAUUAUUGGGCGUAAAGCGCGCGCAGGUGGUUUCUUAAGUCUGAUGUGAAAGCCCACGGCUCACCCGUGGAGGGUCAUUGUAAACUGGGAUACUUGAGUGCAGAGGAGAACGUGCAACUUCCUUGUGUAGCGGAGAUAAUGCGUGGAGAUAUGGAGGAUCACCUAGUCGACGGAAUGCUACUUUGUGUUCUGCAGCUG
RNAcentral lists this ribosomal RNA (702 nucleotides) under Bacillus cereus. RNAcentral describes it as "bacterial SSU rRNA". It matches the Rfam family "Bacterial small subunit ribosomal RNA", at positions 63 to 742 of the family's 1533-position model. Lineage: Bacteria; Bacillati; Bacillota; Bacilli; Caryophanales; Bacillaceae. The record is from RNAcentral.